AACGAACGCUGGCGGCAUGCCUAACACAUGCAAGUCGAACGAGGCCUUCGGGUCUAGUGGCGCACGGGUGCGUAACGCGUGGGAAUCUGCCCUUGGGUUCGGAAUAACAGUUGGAAACGACUGCUAAUACCGGAUGAUGACGUAAGUCCAAAGAUUUAUCGCCCAAGGAUGAGCCCGCGUAGGAUUAGCUAGUUGGUGAGGUAAAGGCUCACCAAGGCGACGAUCCUUAGCUGGUCUGAGAGGAUGAUCAGCCACACUGGGACUGAGACACGGCCCAGACUCCUACGGGAGGCAGCAGUGGGGAAUAUUGGACAAUGGGCGAAAGCCUGAUCCAGCAAUGCCGCGUGAGUGAUGAAGGCCUUAGGGUUGUAAAGCUCUUUUACCCGGGAUGAUAAUGACAGUACCGGGAGAAUAAGCGCCGGCUAACUCCGUG
Molecule: ribosomal RNA, 433 nt
Filed under: uncultured bacterium
Lineage: Bacteria
Description: partial 16S ribosomal RNA
Rfam family: Bacterial small subunit ribosomal RNA
Source: RNAcentral